This 22-nucleotide non-coding RNA is filed under the name Arabidopsis thaliana (thale cress). Lineage: Eukaryota; Viridiplantae; Streptophyta; Magnoliopsida; Brassicales; Brassicaceae. The record is from RNAcentral.
CCAUCAGAGUGUCCAUAUGACA